GAAUUAGCGGGGUCCUCUUUGCUGGUCCUCGACAUGUGAUAAGAUGUUUCCAUGUCUUGGUUUCUGGCUCUGUUGCUUUUGGGACCCGCUUCUAACCGUCUCAACGAGACAAUGUUUGAGCGCGUCUCCCUUCUCGGGAGACCCUCUCGACCUCACGAACCCUUGACCUCAAAUCGGGUGAGACUACCCGCUGAACUUAA
This 200-nucleotide unclassified non-coding RNA is filed under the name soil metagenome. RNAcentral describes it as "partial contains internal transcribed spacer 2 and large subunit ribosomal RNA". The record is from RNAcentral.